CUAGAAUAAAAGUAGUUAAGUUCUUCAAAACUCAAAGAAUUUGGCGGUUAAUAAAAUUUUCAGAGGAACCUGUUGUUUAAUUGAUAAACCACGAUAGUUUAUACCUUUUUUUUACUUGUAUAUCUCUAUAAAGAGGAAUGUUUUAAAAGAAUGGAUUUUCUUUUUGAUUAUUCAUUAAUAUUAGGUCAAGGUGCAGUUUUACAAAGGUUAUUAUGGGUUAUUAUAUUGUAUAUUUAUUAGGAAAUAUUUUAUAAUUUUAUAGGAUUUGAAAGUAAAAUAGAUUAAUUAAUUUGUUUGAAUUUU
Molecule: ribosomal RNA, 303 nt
Filed under: Bolbonota insignis
Lineage: Eukaryota; Metazoa; Arthropoda; Insecta; Hemiptera; Membracidae
Description: partial 12S small subunit ribosomal RNA
Source: RNAcentral